RNAcentral lists this long non-coding RNA (351 nucleotides) under Elaeis guineensis (African oil palm). RNAcentral describes it as "long non-coding RNA (EGUI_LNC000611)". Lineage: Eukaryota; Viridiplantae; Streptophyta; Magnoliopsida; Arecales; Arecaceae. The record is from RNAcentral.
GGGCUCCUACGAUCACAAGGACUCGCACAAUACCCGUCACCGCAUGGUACGGCCGGAGGUGGUACAUGAGACAUGUUGUCUCAUGUAUUGUGUUGGAGCCCAUGCACUCAAGAAUAUUGGCGUUACUAAAGGAGAAGGCUUGUCAAGUCCCGGCUCCAACAGGAGAGGAUUCCGAUUCCAGAUUCAAAUGUAGCUUGGGAUGUUUCAAAGGAUGAUUAAGAAAAUUCUAAAAUAUCUUAGUGAAGCCAUUAGAGACAUUUAGGAUAUAGUAAACAGGAGUGGUAAACAGGUCAGAUCGGUUAUAAACGGAUCGGGUCAUAAACGGAUCGGAUCAGAAAAUGAUCAACCCAA